UUUUAGAGCAAUUCCAAGAUCAGGGAAUUCCUGAGGAUUUGGGAAUUUUUUCCUGGAAUUUUUGGGGAUUUUUUUGGGGGGAUUUUGGGAUUUUUUGGGGGGGAUUUUGGGAAUUUUUGGGGAUUUUUUUGGGAUUUUUUGGGAUUUUUUUGGGAUUUUUUGGGAUUUUUUGGGAUUUUUUUGGAUCAUUUUUGGAUUUUUAGGGAUUUUUCUGGGUUUUUUGGGGAUUUUGGGAUUUUGGAGGAUUUUUUGGGAUUUUUUGGGGAUUUUUUGGGAAUUUCAGGGAUGAGCUGGAAUUUUUUUGGGAUUAUUCUGGGAUUUUUUGGGAUCAUUUUGGGAUUUUUUGGGAAUUCUUGGGGAUUUUUGGGAAUUUUUUGGAUCAUUUUGGGAUUUUUAGGGAUUUUUCAGAAUGACUUUGGGAUUUUUGGGGAUUUUUUUGGGAUUUUUUGGGAUUUUUAGGGAUUUUUCUGGUUUUUUUUUGGAUUUUGGGGGAUUUUUUGGGGCAAUUUUG
This 511-nucleotide long non-coding RNA is filed under the name Cyanistes caeruleus (blue tit). Its description in RNAcentral is "lncRNA (ENSCCEG00000006760.1)". The record is from RNAcentral. Lineage: Eukaryota; Metazoa; Chordata; Aves; Passeriformes; Paridae.